This 659-nucleotide ribosomal RNA is filed under the name Clostridioides difficile. RNAcentral describes it as "bacterial LSU rRNA". It matches the Rfam family "Bacterial large subunit ribosomal RNA", at positions 1897 to 2554 of the family's 2925-position model. Lineage: Bacteria; Bacillati; Bacillota; Clostridia; Peptostreptococcales; Peptostreptococcaceae. The record is from RNAcentral.
AAUCGAAGCAGUGAACUUAAGCCCCAGUAAACGGCGGCCGUAACUAUAACGGUCCUAAGGUAGCGAAAUUCCUUGUCGGGUAAGUUCCGACCCGCACGAAAGGCGUAACGAUUUGGGCACUGUCUCAACAACAGACUCGGUGAAAUUGUAAUUCCGGUGAAGAUGCCGGAUACCUGCGACAGGACGGAAAGACCCCAUGGAGCUUUACUGUAGCUUGACAUUGGGUCUUGGUACUACAUGUACAGGAUAGGUGGGAGGCUUUGAAACCAGGACGCCAGUUUUGGCGGAGCCAUCCUUGGGAUACCACCCUUGUAGUACUGGGACUCUAACCAUAGGCCAUGAAUCUGGUCUUGGGACACUGUCAGGUGGGCAGUUUGACUGGGGCGGUCGCCUCCCAACAGGUAACGGAGGCGCUCAAAGGUUCUCUCCGUACGCUCGGCAAUCGUACGUAGAGUGUAAAGGCAAAAGAGCGCUUGAUUGCAAGCCAUUCAGGUCGAGCAAGGAUGCAAACCGGACUUAGUGAUACGGUAGUUCUGCGUUGAAGGGCCAUCGCUCAACGGAGAAAAGCUACCCUGGGGAUAACAGGCUUAUCUCCCCCAAGAGUCCACAUCGACGGGGAGGUUUGGCACCUCGAUGUCGGCUCAUCACAUCCUGGGGCU